Molecule: transfer RNA, 72 nt
Filed under: Marmota monax (woodchuck)
Lineage: Eukaryota; Metazoa; Chordata; Mammalia; Rodentia; Sciuridae
Description: tRNA.Ala
Source: RNAcentral
UGGGGUGCAGCUCAGUGGAAGAGCACUUGCCUAGCAUGCGCAAGGACUUGGGCUAGAUCCCCAACACCAAAA